CAGUCGCCGCGGUAAUACGGAGGGGGCUAGCGUUGUUCGGAAUUACUGGGCGUAAAGCGCACGUAGGCGGCGAUCUAAGUCAGGGGUGAAAGCCCGGGGCUCAACCCCGGAAUAGCCUUUGAGACUGGAUUGCUAGAAUCUGGGAGAGGUGAGUGGAAUUCCGAGUGUAGAGGUGAAAUUCGUAGAUAUUCGGAAGAACACCAGUGGCGAAGGCGGCUCACUGGACCAGUAUUGACGCUGAGGUGCGAAAGCGUGGGGAGCAAACAGGAUUAGAUACCCCGGUAGUCCCUGUCUCUUAUAC
This 301-nucleotide ribosomal RNA is filed under the name uncultured bacterium. RNAcentral describes it as "partial 16S ribosomal RNA". It matches the Rfam family "Bacterial small subunit ribosomal RNA", at positions 509 to 807 of the family's 1533-position model. The record is from RNAcentral.